Molecule: ribosomal RNA, 1629 nt
Filed under: metagenome
Description: bacterial LSU rRNA
Rfam family: Bacterial large subunit ribosomal RNA
Source: RNAcentral
AAUGGGUGUGAAAAACACCCACGCCGAAAGACCAAGGUUUCCUGCGCAACGUUAAUCGACGCAGGGUUAGUCGGUCCCUAAGGCGAGGCUGAAAAGCGUAGUCGAUGGAAAACAGGUUAAUAUUCCUGUACUUCUGGUUAUUGCGAUGGAGGGACGGAGAAGGCUAGGCCAGCUUGGCGUUGGUUGUCCAAAUUUAAGGUGGUAGGCUGGAAUCUUAGGUAAAUCCGGGAUUCUAAGGCCGAGAGCUGAUGACGAGUGUACUUUUAGUACACGAAGUGGUUGAUGCCAUGCUUCCAAGAAAAGCUUCUAAGCUUCAGGUAACCAGGAACCGUACCCCAAACCGACACAGGUGGUUGGGUAGAGAAUACCAAGGCGCUUGAGAGAACUCAGGUGAAGGAACUAGGCAAAAUGGCACCGUAACUUCGGGAGAAGGUGCGCCGGUGAGGGUGAAGCAUUUACUGCGUAAGCCCAUGCCGGUCGAAGAUACCAGGCCGCUGCGACUGUUUAUUAAAAACACAGCACUCUGCAAACACGAAAGUGGACGUAUAGGGUGUGACGCCUCCCCGGUGCCGGAAGGUUAAUUGAUGGGGUUAGCUAACGCGAAGCUCUUGAUCGAAGCCCCGGUAAACGGCGGCCGUAACUAUAACGGUCCUAAGGUAGCGAAAUUCCUUGUCGGGUAAGUUCCGACCUGCACGAAUGGCGUAACGAUGGCGGCGCUGUCUCCACCCGAGACUCAGUGAAAUUGAAAUCGCUGUGAAGAUGCAGUGUAUCCGCGGCUAGACGGAAAGACCCCGUGAACCUUUACUAUAGCUUUGCACUGGACUUUGAAUUUGCUUGUGUAGGAUAGGUGGGAGGCUUUGAAGCGUGGACGCCAGUUCGCGUGGAGCCAACCUUGAAAUACCACCCUGGCAACUUUGAGGUUCUAACUCAGGUCCGUUAUCCGGAUCGAGGACAGUGUAUGGUGGGUAGUUUGACUGGGGCGGUCUCCUCCUAAAGAGUAACGGAGGAGUACGAAGGUGCGCUCAGACCGGUCGGAAAUCGGUCGUAGAGUAUAAAGGCAAAAGCGCGCUUGACUGCGAGACAGACACGUCGAGCAGGUACGAGAGUAGGUCUUAGUGAUCCGGUGGUUCUGUAUGGAAGGGCCAUCGCUCAACGGAUAAAAGGUACUCCGGGGAUAACAGGCUGAUACCGCCCAAGAGUUCAUAUCGACGGCGGUGUUAGGCACCUCGACGUCGGCUCAUCACAUCCUGGGGCUGAAGCCGGUCCCAAGGGUAUGGCUGUUCGCCAUUUAAAGUGGUACGCGAGCUGGGUUUAGAACGUCGUGAGACAGUUCGGUCCCUAUCUGCCGUGGACGUUUGAGAUUUGAGAGGGGCUGCUCCUAGUACGAGAGGACCGGAGUGGACGAACCUCUGGUGUUCCGGUUGUCACGCCAGUGGCAUUGCCGGGUAGCUAUGUUCGGAAUAGAUAACCGCUGAAAGCAUCUAAGCGGGAAACUAGCCUCAAGAUGAGAUCUCACUGGGACCUUGAGUCCCCUGAAGGGCCGUCGAAGACUACGACGUUGAUAGGUUGGGUGUGUAAGCGCUGUGAGGCGUUGAGCUAACCAAUACUAAUUGCCCGUGAGGCUUGACC